This 1410-nucleotide long non-coding RNA is filed under the name Scleropages formosus (Asian bonytongue). Its description in RNAcentral is "lncRNA (ENSSFOG00015026586.1)". The record is from RNAcentral. Lineage: Eukaryota; Metazoa; Chordata; Actinopteri; Osteoglossiformes; Osteoglossidae.
GGGGCCAUGAUGUAAGGACAUGCGGAGUUGGAAGUCUUAAAACCGGACGAGAUGAGCGUUGCUCUGAAAUGCUUCUCAUACCAAGAGGUAGGGUGUUGUGAGGGUUCCGAUUAAUACAGCUUUGAGGAAAUUUGUUCGCAAUGGCUGGUUUUCUUGAUCUUUUCACACAGCGCUCUGCUGAUUCAGAAAUGAGCCAUUCACACAAAGGGAUAAGACUUUCUGCAAGGAGUACCAAAGGAGACCUGGAAGCGUACAGUCUUCAGCAAAGACCAGCUGGGUGGUCUGAAGAGGGUCUUUGCGAUCACACCUUACCCAGAUUUCAAGAUGGAGUCGUUGGCAACACUCAUGGGAGUCCCCGAGUCCAGAAUCCAGGUGUCUACAGAUUCGGUUUAUUUUCAGCAAGUGUGUAAGUAAGUACUCUAUGAAUCGGAUGCAUGUCAAGCUGCAAUUUUCUGGUAUUACCUUCUUAGGUCUGGUUUCAAAACCAGCGUGCUUGCUACUUAAAAAGGGAAAAGCCUGCUCCUGUUCAACUACAGAGCUACACUUUCAGCUCAUCUGAUCCUUCUGGUGUGCCCUACAGCUUCUGGCCAGAGUGUCUGCUGCAGUGUGAGGUGCAUGUAACUGUGCUUCUGACAGUCUUGUAUUGCAGCCAGAGCUUGUGGAUGAGGUGUGGCAUGGCAGCAGUGGCUUCUGUCACUUGUAGAGUGCCUUACCUCCAUGCUACAUCCCCAGUUGCAAUGCUAACAGUGCUAGUCCUUACAUGCAGGUGAGUGUGGAUGACCAUGCUACCUGGGGAGAGCAACGGAGAGAUCCCAUUGCUGUGCACUGCAGCAUGACUGAGACUGUGCCAAAUAUGAGCAAGCCACUGCAGGCUCGACACCAGAGCUGCUGGGGAAGCUCACAAGCAGAGAUCUAUGAUGAUAUGGUAGAUCUAUUCCUCUAUAUCUAUGAAAAUUUUAAUUUAACAGAUAGUUCUCUGCUGUGGUGACAAUUACAUAGCUUACAAAUGAUUAUUUGAUUAGAAUUAAAUACACUAAUAUAAAUCUAUUUAAUAGCUGGUAUGUAAUGUUACGUGGCUUUUAAACUUCUAGCACUGCCACUUUCAAAGUGCAAAUGAAAUAGUAACACUUAAGCAUGCUUUGUUUGAGGUCUUCUACAAUAAGUAGAUCUAGUUCAUGUUCAUUAAAUAUCUUAGUUACAUGAGUAGCUGGUGAAUGUUUGUAGUAAUUGUGUAAUAAGACUGAAAAAGUUUGCAACUAUGAUCUUCCUGUCAGCUUUAGAAAACAACCCUUCAUGCCAAGGUAACUUAAGUGUAGGACAAGAUUUGAAAUUGCAGUAUUAUAGCCUCUUGGAUUAAAUGAUGUAGGUGUGUUUAAACCUGUGGCCUAGAAACAUUCCUCUUCACAGGUG